CCCUUAGAUGUUCUGGGCCGCACGCGCGCUACACUGACGGAGGCAGCGAGCAUGUCCUGCGCCGAGAGGUGUGGGGAAUCUUGUGAGUCUCCGUCGUGCUGGGGAUAGAUGGUUGCAAUUGUCGAUCUUGAACGAGGAAUUCCUAGUAAGCGCGAGUCAUCAGCUCGCGCUGAUUACGUCCCUGCCCUUUGUACACACCGCCCGUCGCUCCUACCGAUUGGGUGUGCUGGUGAAAUGUUCGGAUCGGCCGUUUGUCGCGGUUUCCGCGUCAUGUGGCUGAGAAGUUCAUUAAACCCUCCCACCUAGAGGAAGGAGAAGUCGUAACA
This 326-nucleotide ribosomal RNA is filed under the name uncultured eukaryote. RNAcentral describes it as "partial 18S ribosomal RNA". It matches the Rfam family "Eukaryotic small subunit ribosomal RNA", at positions 1470 to 1796 of the family's 1831-position model. The record is from RNAcentral.